CCCUUAGAUGUUCUGGGCUGCACGCGCGCUACACUGAAGCGUUCAACGAGUAUUCACCUUGCCCGGGAGGGUUGGGUAAUCUUUUGAAAACGCUUCGUGAUGGGGAUAGAUUAUUGCAAUUAUUAAUCUUCGACGAGGAAUUCCUAGUAAGCGCGAGUCAUCAGCUCGUGCUGAUUACGUCCCUGCCCUUUGUACACACCGCCCGUCGCUCCUACCGAUUGAGUGGUCCGGUGAAUAAUUCGGACUGCAGCACUGCUUGGUCUCCAGGCUUUGCAGCGGAAAGUUUAGUGAACCUUAUCACUUAGAGGAAGGAGAAGUCGUAACA
RNAcentral lists this ribosomal RNA (325 nucleotides) under uncultured eukaryote. Its description in RNAcentral is "partial 18S ribosomal RNA". It matches the Rfam family "Eukaryotic small subunit ribosomal RNA", at positions 1470 to 1796 of the family's 1831-position model. The record is from RNAcentral.